RNAcentral lists this ribosomal RNA (471 nucleotides) under uncultured archaeon. Its description in RNAcentral is "bacterial SSU rRNA". It matches the Rfam family "Archaeal small subunit ribosomal RNA", at positions 339 to 812 of the family's 1478-position model. The record is from RNAcentral.
UCGCGAAAACUUUGCAAUACACGAAAGUGUGACAGGGCUAUCCCGAGUGCCAUCCGCUGAGGAAGGCUUUUACCCAGUCUAGAAAGCUGGGGGAAUAAGGAGAGGGCAAGUCUGGUGUCAGCCGCCGCGGUAAUACCAGCUCUCCGAGUGGUGUGGACGUUUAUUGGGCCUAAAGCAUCCGUAGCUGGCUGAACAAGUCCCCUGUUAAACCCACCGAUUUAAUCGUUGGUCUGCGGGGGAUACUGCUCGGCUAGGGGACGAGAGAGGCAGACGGUAUUCCCGGGGUAGGGGUGAAAUCCUAUAAUCCCGAGAAGACCACCAGUGGCGAAGGCUGUCUGCUAGAACGCGCCCGACGGUGAGGGACGAAAGCUAGGGGCGCGAACCGGAUUAGAUACCCGGGUAGUCCUAGCUGUAAACGAUGCGGACUUGGUGUUGGGGUGGCUUUGAGCUGUCCCAGUGCCGAAGGGAAGC